CACUAAGAAGCUACCUAUAGCAUUAGCCUUUUAAGCUAAAGAGGGACCAGGUCCCUUAGUGAA
RNAcentral lists this transfer RNA (63 nucleotides) under Meroles squamulosus. RNAcentral describes it as "tRNA-Lys". The record is from RNAcentral. Lineage: Eukaryota; Metazoa; Chordata; Lepidosauria; Squamata; Lacertidae.